Rhineura floridana is the source of this 626-nucleotide long non-coding RNA. RefSeq lists it as uncharacterized. Lineage: Eukaryota; Metazoa; Chordata; Lepidosauria; Squamata; Rhineuridae. The record is from RefSeq and is a predicted model, not a curated record. The transcript has 3 exons.
GUUUGACUAUCUUGAAUCUUGUUUUGUAACAGUUAAUUAUGUAACUUUUUCAUGUUGCAAGCUGCCUUGAGCGUAGAUUACUAUGGAAAUAAACCAUGAUGAUAAUGACCAGCGAGAUCAGCUGUGAAAUCCCUACUUUUUCACAAGCUCACCAAGUGACUAUGGGGGGGUGAAGGCAUGGCCAGCAGGGCUACAAGAUGGCUGCCUAGUUUCCCUGCUCUGCCUUCCUCUGGAUAAUGUUCCCAGAUUAAACAAGAACUAGGCAUGCUCAAGCUGAAUGCAGUUCUACAAUGGAUCACUUCCAUCAACCCCCGGAGCCACUCUUACACAUGCUGUGUUAGGAGGGGUAACACCCAUUCUCUGUCCUCUAGUUGCUGCAAUGAAGGAGCAGAAGAAGGGGAGGCAACAUACUCAAAAUAAACCCCCUUCAAAAGCCAACAGUGUGUGCUUUGACCCAGUGACAGAUAACACAACAGAACAAAGAACAAACAAGGAUGAAUACAGGUAUCAGUCCAGAAAAGGCCCAUCAAACCAUCAUAUAUUUCACAUCAAAAUAUUGUUCCAUAAUUGUCCAUGUACCAGGAAGCAAUCAGAAUUCAUGUUCCUUCAUUAUACCCCAACUAAUA